RNAcentral lists this ribosomal RNA (585 nucleotides) under uncultured bacterium. RNAcentral's name for it is "bacterial SSU rRNA". It matches the Rfam family "Bacterial small subunit ribosomal RNA", at positions 338 to 915 of the family's 1533-position model. The record is from RNAcentral.
CCUACGGGAGGCAGCAGUGGGGAAUUUUGGACAAUGGGUGCAAGCCUGAUCCAGCAAUGCCGCGUGAGUGAAGAAGGCCUUCGGGUUGUAAAGCUCUUUUGUCAGGGAAGAAACGGUGAGGGCUAAUAUCUCUUGCUAAUGACGGUACCUGAAGAAUAAGCACCGGCUAACUACGUGCCAGCAGCCGCGGUAAUACGUAGGGUGCAAGCGUUAAUCGGAAUUACUGGGCGUAAAGCGUGCGCAGGCGGUUUUGUAAGUCUGUCGUGAAAUCCCCGGGCUCAACCUGGGAAUUGCGAUGGAGACUGCAAGGCUAGAAUCUGGCAGAGGGGGGUAGAAUUCCACGUGUAGCAGUGAAAUGCGUAGAGAUGUGGAGGAACACCGAUGGCGAAGGCAGCCCCCUGGGUCAAGAUUGACGCUCAUGCACGAAAGCGUGGGGAGCAAACAGGAUUAGAUACCCUGGUAGUCCACGCCCUAAACGAUGUCUACUAGUUGUCGGGUUUUAAUUAACUUGGUAACGCAGCUAACGCGUGAAGUAGACCGCCUGGGGAGUACGGUCGCAAGAUUAAAACUCAAAGUGAAUUGACG